UCUAUAUAUGUGAAGCACUAUUUCUAAGUUUCCUUUUUGGCACACAACCACUAUUAUUUCUAAUUAGUACAAGUUGUACACUUUCACAUGCAUCUGUGUUAAUGGGACACAGAAGUAAUUAUUUUAGUUGUUGAAAACUUCAUGCACUUUGCUCAUCUAAGAAAAAGAGAAGUUCCCCAAUUAUUUGUAUUUGUAGAAAUAAAAUUGAUAAUCGUGAUGUCUGAACCAACAA
This 232-nucleotide long non-coding RNA is filed under the name Solanum tuberosum (potato). RNAcentral describes it as "long non-coding RNA (STUB_LNC010248)". The record is from RNAcentral. Lineage: Eukaryota; Viridiplantae; Streptophyta; Magnoliopsida; Solanales; Solanaceae.